Molecule: long non-coding RNA, 1249 nt
Organism: Ctenopharyngodon idella (grass carp)
Lineage: Eukaryota; Metazoa; Chordata; Actinopteri; Cypriniformes; Xenocyprididae
Exons: 2
Source: RefSeq, a predicted model, not a curated record
UGAGGAAACGGGGGAGGGGAGGUGUAGAAAUGUAAACAAAACAAACCCGUAAAUACGGGAGGGAAGAAAGGCUCGAGGCGCCGGAGUCACACGGUUAGAAGGAAGGAAGGAAAGAAAGCACUGGAACGCGGCCGAAGGCAUCAAAGCAUUUUGUUUACGCAACCUUGCCCUGGAAUAAAUGUGACAAACACACUGGCCGGGUGACCCGUCAUUCAAGGUUCAUCGGUCCAAGAACUCGACAAACAAAAAUAAGCUUUAGAAGAGUCGUUGGGGCCGCUGAUAUCACCAGAUUACACAAUGCAGAUGCGAAGGUGAUUAGGUAUCAGAGUGUCAUAAAUCGCAUAUCAAACUGCUGAAAUCACAUAUUUUGAAAUCGCCCAUCACUAGAUAUUGUUGAAAAGUCAUUAUUUUGGGUUUUUUUGGCGCACAAAAAGUAUUCUCGUUGCUUUAUAAUAUUAAGGUAGAACCACUGUACUCACAUGAACUGUUUUAAACAUGUCUUUAGUACCUUUCUGGAUUUUGAGAAGUUCGGUGACAUUGCUGGCAUUAGAAGCCUCACUGAGCCAUCGGAUUUCAUCAAAAAUACCUUAAUUUGUGUUCGUCGAAGAUGAACGAAGGUCUUACGGGUGUGGAACGACAUGAGGCUUGUGACCCGGAAACCAAUCAAACUCAGCCAUCUUGAACGACAUCUCAAUUCUCUAAUUGCACCGCGAGGAGGCGAGGAAUGAGGAGCGAGGAAGCUUCCUGAGUGUAUCCUUCCCUCAAAUCAUAAUGGGGUGGAGCUAAGAUGCAAGGAAAGGAAGCGAGGAAAGGAAACGAGAAUUCAUGCACCUCUUGAUGGAAAUAAAUGUUGUGAUGUUAUUUCCAUCAAGAGGUGCAUCAAUUUUUGGUCAAGAUCUUGUAUUGACAAUGCAAGAGGUGAGCACUCUGUAAAGUCUCCUCCAGCACAUCCCAAAGACUUAGACUGAGGUUAAAGGUCAGGACUUACAGGUGCCAAAAUGAUUCUUCAUGCUCUCUGAACCAUUCUUUCACAAUUUUAACCCUGGUGAAUCUUGACAUUGUCAUCCUGGAAUAUGGCCAUGAUACAUCUUCUGACAUGGUUGUUUAAGAAAUGAAAAGCUACACACUCCAUCUUUAAGGGUUAAAAGAACCGUUGCCAAACAUAAAGCAUGCUAGAAACAUAAUAAUCACUGUAAUAAUGAUCCAGUCAAGAUUCUUAAGUAUUUGCCUAAUAAAAUCCAAACAGCGA